CCUACGGGGUGCAGCAGUGGGGGAUAUUGCACAAUGGGCGGAACCCUGAUGCAGCGACGCCGCGUGGGUGAAGGAGGGUUUCGGCGCGUAAAGCUCUAUCGGCAGGGAAGAAGGAGGACGGUACCUGACUAAGAUGCCACGGCUAACUACGUGCCAGCAGCCGCGGUACUACGUAGGGGGCAAGCGUUAUCCGGAUUUACUGGGUGUAACGGGGGCGCAGACGGUAGCGCAAGGCAGGGGUGAAAGCCCGGGGCACAACCGCGGGACUGCAGUUGAAACUGCGCGGCUGGAGUGCAGGAGGGGCAGGCGGAAUUCCUGGUGUAGCGGUGAAAUGCGUAGAUAUCAGGAGGAACACCGGUUGCGAAGGCGGCCUACUGGACUGCGACUGACGUUGAGGCCCGAAAGCGUGGGGAGCAAACAGGAUUAGAUACCCGAGUAGUC
RNAcentral lists this ribosomal RNA (441 nucleotides) under uncultured bacterium. RNAcentral's name for it is "partial 16S ribosomal RNA". It matches the Rfam family "Bacterial small subunit ribosomal RNA", at positions 338 to 795 of the family's 1533-position model. The record is from RNAcentral.